This 845-nucleotide ribosomal RNA is filed under the name uncultured bacterium. Its description in RNAcentral is "bacterial SSU rRNA". It matches the Rfam family "Bacterial small subunit ribosomal RNA", at positions 8 to 849 of the family's 1533-position model. The record is from RNAcentral.
AGAGUUUGAUCCUGGCUCAGAUUGAACGCUGGCGGAAUGCUUUACACAUGCAAGUCGAACGGCAGCACGGACUUCGGUCUGGUGGCGAGUGGCGAACGGGUGAGUAAUAUAUCGGAACGUGCCCAGUCGUGGGGGAUAACGUAGUGAAAAUUACGCUAAUACCGCAUACGAUCUAAGGAUGAAAGCGGGGGAUCGCAAGACCUCGCGCGAUUGGAGCGGCCGAUAUCAGAUUAGGUAGUUGGUGAGGUAAAGGCUCACCAAGCCAACGAUCUGUAGCUGGUCUGAGAGGACGACCAGCCACACUGGAACUGAGACACGGUCCAGACUCCUACGGGAGGCAGCAGUGGGGAAUUUUGGACAAUGGACGCAAGUCUGAUCCAGCCAUUCCGCGUGCAGGACGAAGGCCUUCGGGUUGUAAACUGCUUUUGUACAGAACGAAAAGGUCUCUAUUAAUACUAGGGGCUCAUGACGGUACUGUAAGAAUAAGCACCGGCUAACUACGUGCCAGCAGCCGCGGUAAUACGUAGGGUGCAAGCGUUAAUCGGAAUUACUGGGCGUAAAGCGUGCGCAGGCGGUUAUAUAAGACAGAUGUGAAAUCCCCGGGCUCAACCUGGGAACUGCAUUUGUGACUGUAUAGCUGGAGUGCGGCAGAGGGGGAUGGAAUUCCGCGUGUAGCAGUGAAAUGCGUAGAUAUGCGGAGGAACACCGAUGGCGAAGGCAAUCCCCUGGGCCUGCACUGACGCUCAUGCACGAAAGCGUGGGGAGCAAACAGGAUUAGAUACCCUGGUAGUCCACGCCCUAAACGAUGUCAACUGGUUGUUGGGUCUUCACUGACUCAGUAACGA